AACUUUUAACAACGGAUCUCUUGGCUCCAGCAUCGAUGAAGAACGCAGCGAAACGCGAUAUGUAAUGUGAAUUGCAGAAUUCAGUGAAUCAUCGAAUCUUUGAACGCACAUGGCGCCUUCCAGUAUCCUGGGAGGCAUGCCUGUCCGAGCGUCGUU
RNAcentral lists this ribosomal RNA (156 nucleotides) under Plectosphaerella cucumerina. RNAcentral's name for it is "5.8S ribosomal RNA". It matches the Rfam family "5.8S ribosomal RNA". From Rfam's summary of the family: 5.8S ribosomal RNA (5.8S rRNA) is a component of the large subunit of the eukaryotic ribosome. Lineage: Eukaryota; Fungi; Ascomycota; Sordariomycetes; Glomerellales; Plectosphaerellaceae. RNAcentral also lists the same sequence under 4 other names. The record is from RNAcentral.